UACGUAGGGUGCAAGCGUUAAUCGGAAUUACUGGGCGUAAAGCGUGCGCAGGCGGUUUCGUAAGUCUGUCGUGAAAUCCCCGGGCUUAACCUGGGAAUGGCGAUGGAGACUGCGAGGCUAGAGUUUGGCAGAAGGGGGUAGAAUUCCACGUGUAGCAGUGAAAUGCGCAGAGAUCGGGAGGAACACCAAUGGCGAAAGCAGGUACCUGGACUAUUACUGACACUCAGCUGCGAAAGCUAGGGGAGCAAACAGG
Molecule: ribosomal RNA, 253 nt
Filed under: uncultured bacterium
Lineage: Bacteria
Description: partial 16S ribosomal RNA
Rfam family: Bacterial small subunit ribosomal RNA
Source: RNAcentral